AGUGAACGCUGGCGGUAGGCCUAACACAUGCAAGUCGAACGGCAGCACAGUAAGAGCUUGCUCUUACGGGUGGCGAGUGGCGGACGGGUGAGGAAUACAUCGGCAUCUACUUUUUCGUGGGGGAUAACGUCGGGAAACUUACGCUAAUACCGGAUACGACCUAAGGGUGAAAGCAGGGGAUCUUCGGACCUUGUGCGAUUGAAUGAGCCUAUGCCGGAUUAGAUAGUUGGCGGGGUAAAGGCCCACCAAGGCGAAGAUCCGUAGCUGGUCUGAGAGGAUGAUCAGCCACACUGGAACUGAGCCACGGACCAGACUCCUACGGGAGGCAGCAGUGGGGAAUAUUGGACAAUGGUCGCAAGCCUGAUCCAGCCAUACCGCGUGGGUUAAGAAGGCCUUCGGGUCGUAAAGCCCUUUUGUUGGGAAAGAAAAGCAGCAGGUUAAUACCCCGCUGUUCUGACGGUACCCAAAGAAUAAGCACCGGCUAACUUCGUG
Molecule: ribosomal RNA, 492 nt
Filed under: uncultured bacterium
Lineage: Bacteria
Description: partial 16S ribosomal RNA
Rfam family: Bacterial small subunit ribosomal RNA
Source: RNAcentral